RNAcentral lists this unclassified non-coding RNA (348 nucleotides) under soil metagenome. Its description in RNAcentral is "partial contains 5.8S ribosomal RNA, internal transcribed spacer 2, and large subunit ribosomal RNA". The stretch from base 1 to 120 matches the Rfam family "5.8S ribosomal RNA", at positions 35 to 154 of the family's 154-position model. The record is from RNAcentral.
GAUGAAGAACGUAGCGAAAUGCGAUAAGUAAUGUGAAUUGCAGAAUUCAGUGAAUCAUCGAAUCUUUGAACGCACAUUGCGCCCGCCAGUAUUCUGGCGGGCAUGCCUGUCUGAGCGUCAUUUCAACCCUCAUGCCCCUAGGGCGUGGUGUUGGGGAUCGGCCAAAGCCCGCGAGGGACGGCCGGCCCCUAAAUCUAGUGGCGGACCCGUCGUGGCCUCCUCUGCGAAGUAGUGAUAUUCCGCAUCGGAGAGCGACGAGCACCUGCCGUUAAACCCCCAACUUUCCAAGGUUGACCUCAGAUCAGGUAGGAAUACCCGCUGAACUUAAGCAUAUCAAUAAGCGGAGGA